Humulus lupulus (European hop) is the source of this 2475-nucleotide long non-coding RNA. RefSeq lists it as uncharacterized. NCBI's taxonomy places the organism in Eukaryota, Viridiplantae, Streptophyta, Magnoliopsida, Rosales, Cannabaceae. The transcript is spliced from 3 exons. The record is from RefSeq and is a predicted model, not a curated record.
GAUUGAUAGUAAGAUUUUUUUCUGUGAUUUUUUGUCUCAUAUGCAUUCUGAUUUGGUUGGUUAAUUGGUCAUGGUCAUUCUUACUAAUCAACUGAGUUGAGGAUCUUAAACUAUCAGGGACCAAAGAAUCAGAAAGAAAAAAACAUAUAAAGCUCUGCAGCAACAAUCUACUGCAGUAAUCUUGUUAUUCACUUUAAAGUUAAGACUUCAUUUUUUUUAUUAUCUUUUCUCUAGUCCAUUAUCCCUUUUACUAGAUUUCAUGGGACUGUACCUAUGUAAGAUUAGGUACUAAAUCAUGUUUGGAUAUAUUGUAAUAAAUUCAUACAAAGAUGAGUUUAUUUGUAGUGGUCAUAUUGGUUUAAUUCUUAGUGUUGCUUUGUUUUGGUACAUGAUUUCGUUUACAAAUUUUACCCAUUUUGGUAUGGCACUCCAAGUAUUUGUUAAUUUGUCUAGUUGGGUUACUAAAUAUGCAAGGGAUCAAUAUCAAAUAGGAGUGUAGUGAGUGGUGGUUAUUAGAUUUUUUAUUUUGGGAUAAAGUGAAAUUUAGAGAAAUGGGUUAUUGGAAUAUAUAUUUAUUUUUGGCUAAAUAUAUGUAUAUAUAUAUCACUAUAACUAGGAUAUAUGUUUUGUCUUCUAGUAUUUAGAAUAAUCUAAUAUUGUCCAUUAAGUUUCAAAUGGAGUUUCUUCCUAUGUCUUUCGGUACUCACACGUUAUUUUCUCAAAAAUGCAUCUCUAUCAAUGAAAUUAAAGCUAACAUAGAAAACAAAGGAUUACUGCAUUACAUGGAUUUUUUUUAAUUACUACAUUUUUCUUCAAGGUGUGAUCGUUUUUCCACUCCAUGUCAUGUAUGCAUUUUCUUUGUGUUUAUUGACUUAUGUCUAGUUUGGAUCUAGGACUACUGUUUGCAUCUCUUACCAUGAGUUCUUUGACUAUUAUAUAAUACUAUGUAGCUUAAUUAUUAGUCUGGCACAUACAACUGCAAGAGUUAUUAAGCCUUAUUGAUUUUACUCAUUAGAGAUGGUACCAGUAAGUCAAAAGGACCUUUAGUUUAAGUAAGGUGCUUAAACCUAACUUUUCACUCAAUGUGGUUAUGUAGUUGUCAUUUGUAGCCACGAAGAAGUCCUUCUAAGUUUUUUGCAUUAUAUAUUUGUGUCAAUAAAGUUAAGAUUAUCACAUUCCACCUCCAAAAGCUCUAAUUACUGUCAUAGAUAAAAGCAGAAUGUAAGUUUUGGCAUUUUUAUAUACUUUAGUUUGAUCUUGCUCUUAAUUUAUUUAAAUGAUUGGUUUGUUGUUGGAUGAAUAAUAUUUCUUUCUAGUUCAGUUAUAAUUUAGCAAAUUUGAAAAAUGAUCUCGCUGUGUACUAUGUUAUGAAGAGUUGAACCAAGAUCAUUAAACAAUACUAACCAUGACUAUAACAAAUAAACAUUAUUUAAGUAAGCACAUUAAUAUUUUGGAUGGUUUUUGUAUUUCUUUAACCAUGACUAGAAUCCAUUCUUUUUUGUUUUUCCUCUUCUUUUUUUAUAUAAUUCUUUUGGCUGCUCCUUCUCAUGAUUAAUUCAGUAUUGAUUAUAUUUUUUAGCUCAUUACAAGUGUUGAAUCACAAAUAUCCAACACUUGCAUAUAUUUAGAUAAAGUUUAGUUCAUUCACUCUCUAUUCUCUUUGAUGAAUGUGGUGCUAUUUGGAGAGACCAGUGAUAAGGAACACAACAUAAUGAAAAUUUCAUCUGUUUGCCAUAAUGGAUUUGUAUUGUAUUGUAUGUAUUUGGUUUCGAUUCAUGUGUAGGGUGAUUGGUGCAGGAUAAUUGGCCUUCUGUGAUGUUUGCAAUGGCAGGAGGGGUGGUACUUAGCCUUGGAAAUGUCUCAACUCAGUAUGCUUGGGCUUUUGUUGGCUUAUCAGUCACAGAAGUGAUCACUGCAAGCAUAACAGUUGUUAUAGGAACAACCUCGAAUUACUUUUUUGAGGUUGACAGGAACAACCUUGAAUUUUUUCCCUGGCGUUGGCUGCUUCUUGGCUGUAGUUUGCCUUGGUUCUACUGUCCACUCAUCUAAUGCAUCUGAUAAUAAAGAAAAGCUUGAAGGUUUUUCAUCUAAAGAGGGGUGUUUGGGAAAAGCACUCUCAUUGGACUGUCCAUAUGUUUCUUUGCUGGUGUUUGCUUUUCUCUAUUCUCACCAGCACUCAAACAAAUGAUCAAUGGCAUACAUUGAAAGAUGGGGUUCCUCACUUGGUUGUCUACACUGCAUUCUUUUACUUCUCAGUAUCUUGUUUUGUCCUUGCUAUAAUCCUCACAUCUCAUUCCUUUACUACCCUGUGCUGGACUUACCGAAAUCAUCAUUCAAGGCUUAUAUGUUGAAUAUUUAAGACUACUUGAAUACUGUAACACCCUACUACCUUAGAGACAUUACUAAGUGAGUUUAAAAUGAAAAUGUGCAACUAACUUGCUCUACGAGGUUUUUAAAACCAAAAGUGUGACUAGA